GACGAACGCUGGCGGCGUGCCUAAUACAUGCCAGUCGAGCGCUGAAGGUUGGUACUUGUACCAACUGGAUGAGCAGCGAACGGGUGAGUAACGCGUGGGGAAUCUGCCUUUGAGCGGGGGACAACAUUUGGAAACGAAUGCUAAUACCGCAUAAAAACUUGAAACACAAGGUUUAAGUUUGAAAGAUGCAAUUGCAUCACUCAAAGAUGAUCCCGCGACUUCUUAGUUAGUUGGUGAGGGAAAGGCUUACCAAGGCGAUGAUUCCUAGCCCGCCUGAGAGGGUGGUCGCCCACCUUGGACCGGAGACGCGGUCGACACUCGUACGGGAGGCAGCCGCAGGGAACGUUCCGCAAUGGUCGAAAACUUGACUCGGCAACAGCGCGUGAGGUCUGACGGUCUUCGGAUCGUAAAACCCUGUUAUUCGGGAAGAACAAAAGUGUCAUUAACCACGCACGUCUUGACGGUACCUACUCAGAAAGCCACGGCUAACUACGUG
This 496-nucleotide ribosomal RNA is filed under the name uncultured bacterium. RNAcentral describes it as "partial 16S ribosomal RNA". It matches the Rfam family "Bacterial small subunit ribosomal RNA", at positions 28 to 507 of the family's 1533-position model. The record is from RNAcentral.